CGGGGCGUAGCGCAGCCUGGUAGCGCGCCUGCUUUGGGAGCAGGAUGUCGGGAGUUCGAAUCUCUCCGCCCCGACCA
Molecule: transfer RNA, 77 nt
Filed under: Deltaproteobacteria bacterium
Lineage: Bacteria; Pseudomonadati; Myxococcota; Myxococcia
Also listed under: 4 other names
Description: tRNA-Pro
Rfam family: tRNA
About the family: Transfer RNA (tRNA) molecules are approximately 80 nucleotides in length. Their secondary structure includes four short double-helical elements and three loops (D, anti-codon, and T loops).
Source: RNAcentral